GCGGUCGUGGCGGAAUGGUAGACGCGCUGUCUUCAGACGGCAGUAUCUAUAGGAUGUGUGGGUUCAAAUCCCAUCGACCGUACCA
This 85-nucleotide transfer RNA is filed under the name Tenericutes bacterium HGW-Tenericutes-5. RNAcentral describes it as "tRNA-Leu". It matches the Rfam family "tRNA". From Rfam's summary of the family: Transfer RNA (tRNA) molecules are approximately 80 nucleotides in length. The record is from RNAcentral. Lineage: Bacteria; Bacillati; Mycoplasmatota.